UACGUAGGGUGCGAGCGUUGUCCGGAAUUACUGGGCGUAAAGAGCUCGUAGGCGGUUUGUCGCGUCUGCUGUGAAAACUCGGGGCUUAACUCCGGGCCUGCAGUGGGUACGGGCAGACUAGAGUGCGGUAGGGGAGACUGGAAUUCCUGGUGUAGCGGUGAAAUGCGCAGAUAUCAGGAGGAACACCGGUGGCGAAGGCGGGUCUCUGGGCCGUAACUGACGCUGAGGAGCGAAAGCGUGGGGAGCAAACGGG
This 253-nucleotide ribosomal RNA is filed under the name uncultured bacterium. RNAcentral's name for it is "partial 16S ribosomal RNA". It matches the Rfam family "Bacterial small subunit ribosomal RNA", at positions 524 to 776 of the family's 1533-position model. The record is from RNAcentral.